This 73-nucleotide transfer RNA is filed under the name Salmo salar (Atlantic salmon). It matches the Rfam family "tRNA". Rfam says of the family: Transfer RNA (tRNA) molecules are approximately 80 nucleotides in length. Their secondary structure includes four short double-helical elements and three loops (D, anti-codon, and T loops). RNAcentral also lists the same sequence under 1 other name. The record is from Rfam by way of RNAcentral. Lineage: Eukaryota; Metazoa; Chordata; Actinopteri; Salmoniformes; Salmonidae.
UCCCCUGUGGCUCAGUUGGUAGAGCAUGGUGUUUGCAAUGCCAGGGUUGUGGGUUCGAUUCCCACGGGGGGCC